This 187-nucleotide non-coding RNA is filed under the name Thermoactinomyces vulgaris. RNAcentral describes it as "Lysine sequence". It matches the Rfam family "Lysine riboswitch aptamer". From Rfam's summary of the family: Riboswitches are metabolite binding domains within certain messenger RNAs that serve as precision sensors for their corresponding targets. Lineage: Bacteria; Bacillati; Bacillota; Bacilli; Caryophanales; Thermoactinomycetaceae. The record is from RNAcentral.
UUGUGGAGUAGAGGCGCGGGUUUCAUGAGUACUUGUUCGGAGGACGGGCCGUUGAUGGACAAGGAAAGGGAAACACCGCCGAAGUUUGCUGGAAGACCCGACAGAAAGCAGGCUGGGACUGUAUCCGAACAGGAACAGGACUGUCACAAAAGUACAUGGGUUGCUUUUGUGAAGCGCUAAUCCGCAG